RNAcentral lists this ribosomal RNA (202 nucleotides) under Sphyrna lewini (scalloped hammerhead). Its description in RNAcentral is "partial small subunit ribosomal RNA". The record is from RNAcentral. Lineage: Eukaryota; Metazoa; Chordata; Chondrichthyes; Carcharhiniformes; Carcharhinidae.
UGGUAAAUCUCGUGCCAGCCACCGCGGUUAUACGAGUGACUCACAUUAACACAUCACGGCGUAAAGAGUGAUUAAAGAAUGACCUCAAACUUACUAAAGUUCAGACCUCAUAAAGCUGUUAUACGCACCCAUGAGUAGAAUAAACAACAACGAAAGUGACUUUAUAAAUUUAAGAAACCUUGAUGUCACGACAGUUGGGACC